AUGCUAGCUAUGGCAGUAUACAUUCUAAAAUUGGAAUGAUGCAAAGAAGAUUAGCAUUGCCCCUGUACAAGGAUGACAGGCAAAUUCACGAAGCAUUUCAUAUUUUC
Octopus bimaculoides (California two-spot octopus) is the source of this 107-nucleotide non-coding RNA. NCBI's taxonomy places the organism in Eukaryota, Metazoa, Mollusca, Cephalopoda, Octopoda, Octopodidae. The record is from Rfam.